UACAGAGGUGGCAAGCGUUGUUCGGAAUUACUGGGCGUAAAGGGCGCGUAGGCGGUCUUGUAAGUCCCGUGUGAAAUCCCUCGGCUCAACUGAGGAACUGCACGGGAAACUGCUUGGCUUGAGUUCGGGAGAGGGAAGCGGGAAUUCCGGGUGUAGCGGUGAAAUGCGUAGAUAUCCGGAGGAACACCGGUGGCGAAGGCGGCU
Molecule: ribosomal RNA, 204 nt
Filed under: uncultured bacterium
Lineage: Bacteria
Description: partial 16S ribosomal RNA
Rfam family: Bacterial small subunit ribosomal RNA
Source: RNAcentral